UUGAAGAGGAAAUAUUAGAUUUAUUGAAUGAAAGAAUGAUACUGUCAGAAAUCAAGAUAUCAACUCUCCAGUAAUAUGAAAUAGCAAAGAGAAUAGUCCUACUUCAUGAAUUAGUAAGCACUACAUUCAUCAGGACACGACUGUUCACAUUGAUAACAAAACAUCGGAAACAUUCACAAUGGCGUCACACUUCCUAAUAAUAAUAAUAAUAAUAAUAAUCUUCAUGCAGUUUAGGUAAGCAAUUGUGAAAUAAAUUCAAACAAGAGAAACAUGAGUACACACGAGUACAUAGGGUAUACUACAAUGCAAUACGUGUUGUGAGAAGUAGGGUGAGGUGUAUGGUAUGGUUCUGCCUCAAGGAGAGUACGGUGGAGCCGGGGUGUCAGAGUCUUCAACACUGCCCAGUAAGGCCACGUCACUGUCACUCAGGGAGGCCUGGCUGUAGUACCCACGGAGGUGAAUGGAUUUCCCAGAGAAGACGCAGACAGUGAGAGCCACACAGAGCUCCAUCACCGUCAGGACCAGCAGUAGGCCCUUCACCCCAUUCAAGACUUUCUGAUGCACACAGAGGUAAAACAAGAAGAAUAGGUGUCAAUGGUUGGGCUAAUGAUUUGCAUUGUAACUUUAGAAUGAUUUACAAGUUUUGUUCAGGUUUCUCAUCCUGGUAAAACAAUAUCAACGGUAUCUCGUAAAUACAUAAAACAUUUAAUAAGCCUGCAAAGAUGCAUUUCUCUAGCUCCUUGCAACCUUUAAUAAACAAACUGUUUGGAAACACAGGAGACUGCUGAGGGGAGAACGGAUCAUAAUCUUUUCCAGAAUGGUGCAAAUGGAAUGGCAUAAAACACAGAAACACAGUGUGAUGCAUUUGAUACCAUUCCACUUAUUCUGCUCCAGCCAUUACUAUAAGCCCAUCCUCCCCAAUUAAGUUGCCACCAACCUCAUGUGUUUGGAAGGUUACGGAGUUCUCUGAAGUUAGUAUAACAAAUGCAUACAGCAAAAUUACAUGAACCAGGUCACUUCCAUGAAUACUUACAUAUAGUGUCCUAACCAUGAUUGUGCAUUCCUUUAUCCCGUUCUGGUUGGAAUUGGAAGUAUAGUUGUCGUCAGUGUCGGUGCAGAAACCAUCUUCAUGUUUUACAGUCAGCAGCAUGCAAAUAUAGGCAACCCCAGCCAGGGCCACAAGAACACUGACAACAUUCACAGCCAGAGUCCCUUUAAUCUGACAGGGUGGGAAAUGGAGAGGAGGGGAAACUGAACAACCAUUGCAUGACAAUGGUCAUUUGUUUUGUUUAAAAAUAUGUGGACAUAUUAACUGCUAUUAACUGUUGCAACUGGUUAGAUUUUUGGUUUGUGAGUUUGUCUAAUAAAAUAUAUCCUGUUUUACUUCCUAAUAGCAAAGAUUUAAUUUCUGAUAUACAUCUCAAUUUAUAAAUCUAAUAAAGUAAACUUGAAGUGCACACUGCUAUUAACCACAGUCACAGUGAAUGACUUACCAGACUCAAACGUGUUCCUUUCCGGGCAGCCACAGUGAGAGAUCCAGAGAGGACAAACUGGAGAGUGAGCAACACAGGAAAGAAAGAGACUUUAGACCAUUGACAUAUGAAGCUAAGGUGAUGCUGACCAAUCAACUGCCACAUCCAAUGUCACCUACUGUAGUGGCCUACAGUUUAUAGAUAAACAAGUUCUGCUGUCUCCUGUGGGUGUGGGAUGCACUUUGGUCAUGAGUGUUAUCCUGCUUGUUCACCUACUUUUCUAGGUUACAACAGAACUACUGUAAGAUAGAUGACGGCAGAUUCACUCUGAGGAAACAUCUCUAAAAUUGCAUGUGUCCGUGUAGCAUUAAGUGUGUUGGAUAUUACUUGCCCCCUUGGUACCCAGAACUUACAGAAACUCCCAUGAAGAGUGGGAACUGGUCAUACAGGAUAGGGGUGAGAAGAGCAGACAGGCUCACCACCAUACACACCAAUCCAAGAACGAUCUGCACAAUCUGAGACAACAGUAAUUCAGCGAACAUUGAGUAACAAGUGGAAAUGGUAACUAAUAGUGGUUCACAGUUUAGCCUAGAUUUUGUUUUCUUCUAAAUCAAGUUGCCCUCAAAGGAUCUUAAAUAUAGAUCUCUACAAUGUUACAGCCGAUGAUUGAAUCCAAUGGCAAAUGGAUGGAAUGAGCACUAAAGACAAAGGACAGUAAUAUUCUGUUCUCACCCCAAGAGAUUGUGGCUGAACCUGCAGGAACACCCUUGUCAUCUCUGACACUUUAGUGGUCAGCAGUGGCACAGCGGGGGGCGCACUCUGGAUUUGGGGAGUGACAUUCAGAAGUGGCACUGAAGCCUUGCCACUCUCCGCCAAGGGGAAAACUUGUGUCACUACCACAACUCCAUUUGUAGUGGUGAUAGAGGUGGACAUGGUUGAUGAUCCUUAUGUGGGCGGUUCACUGCAACAAACACCUGCAAAGAAAACUACACACUGAAAGCUUGAUACUUUAAUACAGUUGCAGACAUUUUGUCAGUGUUUAUUAUGGCAUUAAAGAUGGCCUAAGUCUUCUCUAGGUUGUCCUUGGUUUAGAAAUAACAUUAACACUAGCCUUUUGAAGAACAAAAUUGAGGUUUGAAGAGUAAAAUGUAGGUGUACUUCAAAUGACCAAAAACAGCAGUAACUAGCACAGAAUGGGCCUUUCUUAGGUCUCGCAAAGGAGAUUUGAUCUCAAUGAGACUAACGUCAUUGAAAGGUUAAUUCAAUAAAUCAAUACAAUAUUGACAACACUCAAUGA
RNAcentral lists this long non-coding RNA (2769 nucleotides) under Salmo salar (Atlantic salmon). RNAcentral describes it as "lncRNA (ENSSSAG00000108499.1)". The record is from RNAcentral. Lineage: Eukaryota; Metazoa; Chordata; Actinopteri; Salmoniformes; Salmonidae.